UUCUCCAUCGGUACACACAAGAGAUGUGUUAUUAAAGAAAUUGAGUUACUAUCUUUCGUUGAGUGACUGGGUGAAUCUUCAUCCUUUAUUCGCAGGAAUAUUCCUAUAUUAAGGAUUUAUGUACCUUCCUAAUUUUAUUAAAAUAGGUGUCAAGCAACAUGCAUCGUUUAUAAGAGCUUCACACAUGCACAAAGUAAAUAAAAAGGUCAAAGCUUUAUACAGCGGACGCAUACUUAUCUUUCUACACACCUUGCAGAUUAUGGCUUAUCCUCAUAAAACCAGUUCAGCUACUUUUAACAUUUACCACUCACCGAUUUCUUGUAUGAAAGUGGAACAAAUUAAAUCAUUUCCCUCGUCGCGUGAAGGGUAAGACAAAAUAGAGUUCUGUGCUGCUAUCUACAUGUUACCGAGUGAACCGAACAUGCAUAUCCCUUCGCUCAGAUCUCUGGAAUACACUGCAUGUGGUACUGUGUAGCAGUUCCUAUUCGAAGCGCGCUGUUUGAAUCAACUUGGUAACAAAUUUGGAAGGUCAUUGUACCAGCUCAUAUAUUCAGAGUAAAUUGAGCCACAUAUCAGGAUCUGGAAGAACAUCAAGAGAUUCUAGACAAUGAAAAUUCUCAAGAGACCCAGGGAGCAGCUCCUCAGAGGAGAAAAAGCAGAGAAGAGUAGUGUGUUCUUGGCAUUUUACAAUGCUCUGUAAAUUCACUUUACAGAAUAAACCAA
Molecule: long non-coding RNA, 723 nt
Organism: Schistocerca piceifrons (Central American locust)
Lineage: Eukaryota; Metazoa; Arthropoda; Insecta; Orthoptera; Acrididae
Exons: 3
Source: RefSeq, a predicted model, not a curated record